GCGGGUGUAGUUUAGUGGUAAAACCUCAGCCUUCCAAGCUGAUGAUGGGAGUUCGAUUCUCCUCACCCGCUCCA
This 74-nucleotide transfer RNA is filed under the name Salimicrobium album. Its description in RNAcentral is "tRNA_Gly_TCC". It matches the Rfam family "tRNA". Rfam says of the family: Transfer RNA (tRNA) molecules are approximately 80 nucleotides in length. Their secondary structure includes four short double-helical elements and three loops (D, anti-codon, and T loops). RNAcentral also lists the same sequence under 2 other names. Lineage: Bacteria; Bacillati; Bacillota; Bacilli; Caryophanales; Bacillaceae. The record is from RNAcentral.